This 253-nucleotide ribosomal RNA is filed under the name uncultured bacterium. RNAcentral describes it as "partial 16S ribosomal RNA". It matches the Rfam family "Bacterial small subunit ribosomal RNA", at positions 524 to 776 of the family's 1533-position model. The record is from RNAcentral.
UACGGAGGGUGCAAGCGUUAUCCGGAUUCACUGGGUUUAAAGGGUGCGUAGGUGGCUUUGUAAGUCAGUGGUGAAAUCUUAGAGCUUAACUCUAAAACUGCCAUUGAUACUGCUUAGCUUGAAUCAAGUAGAAGUGGAUGGAAUAUUACAUGUAGCGGUGAAAUGCUUAGAUAUGUAAUAGAACACCGAUUGCGAAGGCAGUUCACUAUGCUUGUAUUGACACUGAGGCACGAAAGCGUGGGGAUCAAACAGG